AAAUGAGGGCCGAUGCGAUAAGUAUCUUCACAGGUUAACGAAACGGCCUACAUAAGCAGGGGAAGUCUUUGUCACCCCAUGAACCCUGUUUGGGCUUUUCCAAAUAAGUUCGAAGUCUCAAGCAGCUCGACGAAUAAGGCCUCGCAGGCCAAAGAUUAUCCAGUUUGUUAUGCAGUUUCUACCUUCCAACACAAUUGAUUUAUUUCUUUAUUCUCAAUGAAUAUUCAAGAAGUUACUCAUAAGCUUGGCUCAACUGCUGUCCACAACAACUACUCAAAACCCUUUUUGGGUCUGCUAUCCAAUGCGAGAGGAUAAACUAAUUGUUCUCUAGUGCGAGAGGGUAAACCAAUUCCCCGACACCUAUAUGGGUUUGCUCUCCAGUGCGAGAGGAUAAACUAAUUGCUCUCUAGCACGAGAGUGUAAACUAAUUGCUCUCCAGGGCGAGAAGGUAAACUAAUUGCUCUCCAGUGUAAGAUGGUAAACUAAUUCCUCGACACCCAUCUAGGUAAGCUCUCCAGUGUGAGAAGGCCACAUAGCUUAAAAGAUCGAAUGCUUGAAGAUCAACUAGGCAGCAA
RNAcentral lists this long non-coding RNA (575 nucleotides) under Malus domestica (apple). RNAcentral describes it as "long non-coding RNA (MDOM_LNC011079)". The record is from RNAcentral. Lineage: Eukaryota; Viridiplantae; Streptophyta; Magnoliopsida; Rosales; Rosaceae.